GGGAGAACAGGCGCUGCCGUAAAGCUUAGUGUAAAAGCGCACAAAAUUUAUGCGGCGGAUUAGAGGCGGCUGGCUCGACCGCGGCUCACAAAUGACGGCUCACUUGGCCGCGAUGAAAUGAGGGCUAAAACGUGAGACUGGGAUUUUUUUUCAUAAUUGUUUUCCUUCACCCACGGACAAAUGGAUCAAGCAGAGCAGCUGGAGGAGAUCUCUGCUUGGUGUAAAGAGGAAGGUCUUCCUCCUGACUCCUCAAAGGAAGCUCAGCUGUGUUUGCUAUGGCGUGCCCUUCAGCACACGAUGAGCCGCCUCAGCAAAGUGACCAGAGACCUGGAAACCCACCGCUCUCAGCACUUAGCAGAAAUGGCGGAGGUACGCAAGUCGCUGGAGCAGAUCAGAUUCUUCACGGAGCACAAAAAUGUUUUGGCUCAGGAGAUACAAGAAGAGAAUGAUCACCUUAAGGAGCAGCUGCGGCACCUAAUAUCACUUCAAGAUGCCCAGAUUAGCGAGGUGGCUAAAAUGCUGUACCAACAGGGUCUCACAGAGUUGAUUCACAGCAGCCCCAGUGAGCAGGUGGCAUACCUCCUGGUGGAGAGGGCUUCCCUGCUUGAGACAAGUGAGCUUACAGACAAGGUGAAGGGAUAUGGAAACACAGCCAAUCAUAUGGGGACAGGAGCACAAGUGAAGAGGACCGGCGUAUCCCAGGCUGCCCACAAGGGGGCACCACGUCAUGGGCAGAGCGCAUGGAAAAAACUCUUUGGACUCAAGUCUUCACAGAACAAACAUACUUUUAUUCCUGCUGAGGCCAGAUUUUUGGCUGGCCAGGAAAGCAGUUUGGGGAGAGAAUGCUCCCGGCUGGAGCGGGACCUGGAGGAGGGCUCCCGUCGGCUGGCAAUGGCGCACAAUGAGAUCCGGCGUUUGACUGAUGAGCUGGAGUCUGCUCAUUUGACCCAGAGAGCGUAUGAGCCUGAGCUGCAAUCAGCACAGCAGGAGGUGGAGCAGCUCCGGCAGGAGGUAGAAAAGCUGAAGAAAUAUGAAAUUGUGGAAUUGCGAAAGACCAAAGAGCUAAAUGAUCGCCUGGACCUCGAGAUCCGAGCCUUGAGGAAUAGGGUUCGCUCAUUGGAUGCUGAGAAAACCUCUUUGCAGCAGACGGUCGUGUCGCUGCAAGAAGAAGCAGAGCAGCUGAAGGCAGCCUUACAGGAGGAGCUCCUAACUAAACAGGCUCCAGCCAAACAAGUAACAGAGAUGACUGAAGUUGUGUCUCUAAAGAAGAAGGCAGAGCGACUGGAGUCAGCCCUACAAGAGCAGCAGCAGCAACUUCUCACUGUGCAAGUUCAGGCCAACCAUGCCAACGAAUUAGCCAAAAUACAUUCUCUUCAGCAGCAGGUUGACUGUGCCCAAACCAGCGUGGAUAACCUUGUGCUAAAUAUCAACAGCAGUGAAGACAUCCCGCAGGAUCAAAAGCUGCUGAAACAAAAAAAGGCAGAUCCCCAUCUUUUUGUAAACACUCAGUCGCAUGACUCCUUUAUGACAGCGGAUGAAGAGCCACAGACGAUAAAGUACGAAGAAAACGCACCACAAAAGGAGUGUAUUAACUGUCAACAAGCAAUGAAAACUCUGCUGUCCUCCCAAGAGGAGUGUGAGGCACUUAAAAAGGAGAUCUGCGAAACCCUGAAAUGCAUUGAUGAGGAGCGAAGCAAAUUCCACAAGAUGAAGCAAAAACACAAGGCCAAACUUUGCAGAGCCAAACAGAAAUUUGAAGAUGAAACCACAUGGCGUGAUGAGAAGAUAAAAAGUCUAGAGAGAGAAUUGUCCUUGUGCUGUCAUUCAGUAGCAAAGGAGAAGGAGCUUGUCAUAAGCAUAACUGUGGAAAAUGAGAAACUACUCUCUGAGAGGAGGAAGCUACUGCAACAGCUAAACGAGGAGGAGCACAAGAAGAAGGAUAGUUGUCUAAAAGCUUCUUUAUCCAAAUGCAGGGUGGAACUUUUAGAGCUGGAAAACAAGAAACUCGGAAACCAAAUAUCACAAAUGUCCAACCAGCUCGCUGUCCUGGAGUUCAGCCUGCAGAAGACACAGCUGCUUCACUUUGCUGAGAAACUUAAGAAAAUGCCAGAUGACCAGCAAGUUUUCAAGUCUCUUCCUCAGCAGUCUUCAAGUGUGAUUUCACCCGAGCUGUCUGAAGCUCAGGGCUUGUUGGAUGGUACACUUAGAGGUCACUCCAAGCAGACAGAUGGGACUUGUUACAGUCAUGCGUCUGAGAUUUUGUGUCAGUCAGCAGAUAUGAGCUACCUGAACCUGACCUCCACACAAAAAAACCACUUGGACCGCUCACCUCCCCUGGCUGCCCUCAGCAGCCUUGAAAAUCUGCCUUCCUGAAGUUUUCUGUUUUGAGUGUGAUCAUGAACUAUUUUAUUUGUAUGUUAAAUUAAUAAAUAAGAUACAAAAUGGGUUUGAAUUUCAUUAAAUCAAAUUAAACCAGCCUGAA
Molecule: long non-coding RNA, 2482 nt
Organism: Oreochromis aureus
Lineage: Eukaryota; Metazoa; Chordata; Actinopteri; Cichliformes; Cichlidae
Source: Ensembl